RNAcentral lists this ribosomal RNA (460 nucleotides) under uncultured bacterium. RNAcentral's name for it is "partial 16S ribosomal RNA". It matches the Rfam family "Bacterial small subunit ribosomal RNA", at positions 338 to 795 of the family's 1533-position model. The record is from RNAcentral.
CCUACGGGAGGCAGCAGUGAGGAAUAUUGGUCAAUGGGCUUACGCCUGAACCAGCCAAGUCGCGUGAGGGAAGACUGCCCUAUGGGUUGUAAACCUCUUUUGUCAGGGAGCAACGCCGGCUACGUGUAGCCGUACUGAGAGUACCUGAAGAAAAAGCAUCGGCUAACUCCGUGCCAGCAGCCGCGGUAAUACGGAGGAUGCGAGCGUUAUCCGGAUUUAUUGGGUUUAAAGGGUGCGUAGGAGGAAUGCCAAGUCAGCGGUAAAAUCGCGGGGCUCAACCUCGCUCCGCCUUUGAAACUGGCGUUCUUGAGGGGGCGAGAAGUAUGCGGAAUGCGUGGUGUAGCGGUGAAAUGCAUAGAUAUCACGCAGAACGCCGAUUGCGAAGGCAGCAUACCGGCGCCCAACUGACGCUGAAGCACGAAAGCGUGGGUAUCGAACAGGAUUAGAUACCCUGGUAGUC